RNAcentral lists this ribosomal RNA (616 nucleotides) under uncultured fungus. Its description in RNAcentral is "eukaryotic LSU rRNA". It matches the Rfam family "Eukaryotic large subunit ribosomal RNA", at positions 40 to 631 of the family's 3401-position model. The record is from RNAcentral. Lineage: Eukaryota; Fungi.
AUAUCAUUAAGCGGAGGAAAAGAAACUAACAAGGAUGCCCUUAGUAACGGCGAGUGAAGUGGGCAAAGCUCAAAUUGAAAAUCGGUUCCCCAUGCGGGGUUUCGAAUUGUAGUCUAUAGACGCGCUAUCAGCAGUGGCCCGGGUAUAAAUCUUUUGAAACAAGGUGUCAUAGAGGGUGAGAACCCCGUCCAUGACUCGGUGUCCGCUGCGUACGAUGCGUGUUCAAAGAGUCGGGUAGCUUGGGAUUGCUGCCCUAAGUGGGAGGUAAAUUUCUUCUAAAGCUAAAUAUUGACGAGAGACCGAUAGCGAACAAGUACCGUGAGGGAAAGAUGAAAAGAACUUUGAAAAGAGAGUUAAAAAGUACUUGAAAUUGUUAAGAGGGAAGCACUGGAAACCAGUAUUGCUGGGUGCAGUAUUCGCCUUUCGGUGGUUUGGAGGUGGUGCGCCGGGAGUUUAAACCUCGGUUGUAUUAUCGAAGGAUCGCCGGAGGGUCUAGCUGUAUCUAGUAGGUCAAAAUCAAUUUGCUUCGCGGGAGAAAGCUGUCGGGAAGAUAGGGCGGAGGGGCAACCCAAGGCCUGUUACAGCCUGACAGUGCUACCGUGGGGUGGAUUGAGGA